UACGUAGGGGGCUAGCGUUGUCCGGAAUCAUUGGGCGUAAAGAGCGUGUAGGCGGCUCGGUAAGUCCGCUGUGAAAGUCCAGGGCUCAACCCUGGAAUGCCAGUGGAAACUGUCGAGCUAGAGUCCGGAAGAGGCGAGUGGAAUUCCUGGUGUAGCGGUGAAAUGCGCAGAUAUCAGGAGGAACACCAAUGGCGAAGGCAGCUCGCUGGGACGGUACUGACGCUAAGGCGCGAAAGCGUGGGGAGCGAACAGG
Molecule: ribosomal RNA, 253 nt
Filed under: uncultured bacterium
Lineage: Bacteria
Description: partial 16S ribosomal RNA
Rfam family: Bacterial small subunit ribosomal RNA
Source: RNAcentral